This is a long non-coding RNA of Zingiber officinale, 628 nucleotides long. RefSeq lists it as uncharacterized. NCBI's taxonomy places the organism in Eukaryota, Viridiplantae, Streptophyta, Magnoliopsida, Zingiberales, Zingiberaceae. The transcript is spliced from 2 exons. The record is from RefSeq and is a predicted model, not a curated record.
CCCACUCUAGCGCCGAGCUUCUUCAACCCGAGCCUUCACGCGACGCCGCCCAAAAACCCAUCGCCGAUCCUCUUAUUCGGCGAGCCACAGUCGCCGGACACCACAUCCGGCAAUCCCUCCCUCACGCGAGCAACACGGCGGCGAUCUUUUUCCCUCACGCAAGCACCAAGACCCCGUCGGAUCUUCUUCUAGCGAGUUCCUACCAGCACAGCCGCCGACGCUCUUCUUCCUCACGCGAGUUUCCCCCUGGUGAUUUUUCCUCACCAAAACCGCUGACCCUUUCUGCGCGCGAGCACCACACCGCCGUUGUCCUUGUUCCCUAGUGCCGACUGGCUUCUCCCUGCCCUAGUGUCGUCCGCCUGAUCCACUACCACCUCCGACCACGACGAGAGCUGGCCAGCAGGUAACAGGUAGAUGAGACAUGGAUGCUUGGAGAGAUGUCGGCCGCCAGUCCUGGGUCCUACGUCACACUCGAGAAUAGUUCUUUUCUUAUUGGGUUUUGUUAUCGUUUGGAUUGUAUGUUAAUUUUGCGUACUUUGCUUUUAAACAAGUCAUUGGGGAAUUUUGGGUCAAGUCUGUGAUGACAGGUGUUUUUGUUAGUGUCGUUGUUAGUUUUACGUUCGUAUUA